This 3703-nucleotide unclassified non-coding RNA is filed under the name Hevea brasiliensis (rubber tree). Lineage: Eukaryota; Viridiplantae; Streptophyta; Magnoliopsida; Malpighiales; Euphorbiaceae. The record is from RNAcentral.
CUCAGAUGCAAUUAGAUAGCUCGAAACAAAAACGACGUGUCGCUGUAAAUGGAUUCAGCUUGACCGCGCCUGCUUCACAGACACAAGCAACUAUUUUAGAAUCCAGCGAAAAUGAGAACCAGUGUUGAAAUGAAGGGUAACCAAACCUUGCCACUUUCGUAUUCAAGGAUGAGCAAGAAACUAGACUAGAGAGUUGAGAGAAAUAUGGCAGAAGCUGCGAAACUCCCAAUCAUAGACCUCUCCUCAACCGAUCUCAUAUCCACUGCUAAUUUCAUCCGUCAGGUUUCGUUCUCUUCUUCUUUAUCCUUGAUUAUUUUUGUUUUCUUCUACUUGUACUUCAAUGCUUUACGCUAUUUCAUCUUCUUAGUCAAAUUGAGUGAUGGAAUUAAUCAUUGCAGUGUUGAAUGAUUCAUGAGGUUUUGAUUCUUUUAUUGGAUUUGAUUCUUUUAUUGGAUUUGAAUUGCUUCCCAGGCAUGUGUGGAAUAUGGUUUCUUUUACCUUGUAAAUCAUGGAGUGGAGGAAGAGUUGCUCGCUCGAGUUUUUGAAGAGUCUCGGAAAUUCUUCUCUCUCCCUUUAGCUGCGAAGAUGAAUUUGCUUCGCAAGGAACACAGAGGUUACACCCCAUUGUAUGCUGAGAAUCUCGAUCCUUCUUCCAGUUCUAAAGGUGACUCAAAGGAAAGCUUCUAUAUUGGUCCUUUAGAAAAGAGUUGCCUCAACCAGUGGCCCUCACAAGGGAAUUUCAGAACUUCUCCCUUCUUGGAGACCCACCAUGGAGUCUUACUAUUGCAAAGUUAUGUAAGUUUUGAUCCUCAAUAGUUUUUCUAUUUUUUUUUCACUUUGACUUUGUGUUUAUGAAUGAGUUUGAAGAGUGAAAGUUAAAGAUCUGCUUCACUAUAGGUUCUCUUCUAUUUUGAAUUCAACUAUCAUUUAAUUGGUGCUUUUCCUAUUCUGCAUCCCAUCUCUUCCUAUUCAUUGAAAAGCGCUUUUUCUAUUUAAAAGUUCAAAUUUGGUAUUUAUGCCUUGAUUUUGUAUUGCUGGAUAAUUAUUGACAAAAAAUGAUAUGUUCUGUUGGGGGUGUACCCAGACAAUAAGCUUUGGGUAGAUUAUUCUUUCUGUGGAAUCUUCAUGCAUUUGGAUAACUGGUAUAUUGGAAAAUUUUAGACCAAGGGAAUAGCUAGAUGGUACAGUUUCUCACUUGUGCUAGAUGCUCCCUCAGGUCUGCUGGAAAAAAACUCAUCUCUUUGAUUGCUCUGUCUCUGAACUUGGAUAAGGAUUACUUUGAGAAAAUAGGAGCAUUGGAUGAACCAGAAAGCUUUCUUCGCCUCUUACAUUAUCCAGGUGGCCUUUAUUUGGCUCCUUUAUCUCUCCUUUUCCCUUUUUCAAAAUAAUUCAGCAGCAUCUCUGGAGUAGAUGGAAAGCUGAAGUUGGGAGUAGUGAAUAAUUGUUAGAUAGCAAUCCAAUUUAUUAUAUCAUCCUUUUGCUUUUGUGAAAAUGCUAGAUCUGUGAAAUAACGUUAGACAACAUGCACCUACCUGUGCAGCUGAUUUUUUUUUCUAAGGAGACUAACUUCAUAUUUUAUCUCUUACAAUGAUUAUGUUAAAUAUGGAUCAUCAGUUCAAUCUAAAUUAUGCUAAAAAUUCUGGGUCGGAAGAAGCUCUCUAUCAUUCCAAGGCCCCCUAUCAUUUCCUUUUUCUACCUCUUUAUAGCCUAGAAGCUUCCAAAGAACCAGGCCUAAUUUGUUUGGUGUUAGGACCCAACUAGGAUAUUAAUUCAUCUAUUAAUCCUGUAGAGAACAUUUCUUGGGCUAAAAGACUUCUGAGCCAAUCAUUUUAGAAGAAACUUCUGUCAUCUCAGGUGAACUGGGGCAUUUUGAGGAACAAAUAUUUGGUGCUUCAGCACAUUCAGAUUAUGGAAUGAUCACUCUUCUGGUGACUGAUGGUGUGCCAGGACUUCAGGCAUAUGUCUAUUCUACCUCUGUCUGUCUCUUAGUUUUUUGAUACUUUUCUAUAGCUUCCUUCAUAUCUUCAAGUGCUAAUUCUAGGACCAUCUGAUUUGGUUUUUCAAUGAUAACAGGUUUGUAGGGAGAAAUUCAAGGAUCCACAGACCUGGGAAAAUGUGUUCCAUAUGAAUGGGGCCUUCAUAGUUAACAUUGGGGACAUGAUGGAGAGGUGGACUAAUUGUUUGUUUCGGUAAUAACUGUUCCAUUAAUUUUUUUUCUUCCCUCUGUUGAAAAGUUUUUUAGUUGCUCAUUAAAAGAUAUCACUCAUGUGAAUAAAUACGUUGGGAAAGUUUUGCAAUAGGGUCUUUCUCCUCUCUCUUCUUCUUUAUUUUCCAAAGUUUUGUGUCAAUUAUUUGCAGGUCCACGCUACACAGAGUGAUGCCAACAGGACAAGAACGCUACUCUGUAAUUAUCUUUAUGCUUCUUUAUUUACUUUUUUAUUAUAUUUGGUUAUUCUUCUGGUAGUUUGAACUUCAGCUUAACUAAGCUCGUGACUUCAACCUGUAAGUGUAUCAAGGAUGCUUGAUCCAUACUAAACUAUUCUUAUGGCUAUAGACUUGAUGCACAUACUUUCAUAUUUGGAUGAUAUCACAUAGAUUGAUCAGGAGAGAAUGGAGAAAGUAACUCUAUGAUUUAAUUUGGUGGGUUGGCUGCUAAAAGACUCCUGCUGUAGUAAAUUGUUUGGUUGGCAUGUUUUGACUUAUGGGAAGAUCAAGUUGACUCUGAACUUGUGUUGGUCAAUGAAAAAGCAGCUUUUGAAAACUGCAAAAUAUCAAAAUUUUCAAGUCCCUAAACCUGAAAUUUUUGCAUAUGGAUGUAGGGAUUCAAAGCUGAGUGUAUGUCAUGUAUGCCACACUUUAUUAUUGUUCUAUCAUACAUCACAGGGUUAUAUUCUUCCUUCUGUGUUGGAAUAAUGAAAAUUCUGAAAACAUAAUACAUCAAUAGACAACAAACGUAUGGUUUCAUAUGUGGUGGAACGUGAUGCAUAUGUGUCCUUUAACCAGCACAUUAGAAUGGUUUUCUUCUUGUAGGAUGUUUAAACUUACCGUUCAUUUGUAAUUCAGUUCUCUUUUUCAGAGGAUUUCUGAUGUAUUGUUGAUGGUUUUUGACUUAUAUUGUUGCAGCUGGCAUUCUUCUUAGAUCCUAACACAGAAUGCAUUGUGCAAUGUUUGGGAAGUUGUUGCAGUGAAUCCAGGCCCCAAAGGUUGCUUUGCGCACCAUUUUUGCUGACCUCUUUCAAAAAGCUGGUGUUACUUUAAUGAUUUGAAUUGACUAUGUUAAAAAUCUAUUAAUUCAUCAAGAAUAUACAAGUUAAAACUUUGGAGGUUCAUUUGUCAACGUUUUCUUUACAUUGACAACAGAAUCAAUUAAGAUACUGUUAUGUGGAUAUUAGCUAGCGAUUGAAAAUGGGGAUAACAUCUGUGGGCUAUGUUUGCAGAUUUCCUCCAAUUCGCAGCGGGGAUUAUCUGAAAGAGCGAUUGAUGCUUACUUACGGCUCAUAGAAUUGAGGCAGAGCCCACAAAAAACUGCUAGAAAUGAUCAGAGGUUUCAUACCAUAUCUUUGUAUUCAAAAGUGAAAGUUGCAAACAAGCUAUUGUGGAAUGCUGAAAAUCUGAUACUUCCUACUUGAUGGAUAAUUUGGCGCUCGUAUCGAUUUUCAUUAUGCAUUUUGGUGUUAAUUAUGGCUCAUAAUCACAAUUGCAU